CAUACCAUGCUGAAUAUACCGGUUCUCGUUAGAUCACCGAAGUCAAGCAUCAUUGGGCGCGGUCAGUACUUUGGUGGGUGACCACCUGGGAACACCUCGUGCCGUU
This 106-nucleotide ribosomal RNA is filed under the name Caerostris darwini. The record is from RNAcentral. Lineage: Eukaryota; Metazoa; Arthropoda; Arachnida; Araneae; Araneidae.